This 491-nucleotide ribosomal RNA is filed under the name uncultured bacterium. RNAcentral's name for it is "bacterial SSU rRNA". It matches the Rfam family "Bacterial small subunit ribosomal RNA", at positions 28 to 507 of the family's 1533-position model. The record is from RNAcentral.
GAUGAACGCUAGCGAUAGGCCUAACACAUGCAAGUCGAGGGGCAUCACAUGAAGUAGUAAUACGGAUGGUGGCGACCGGCGCACGGGUGAGUAACACGUAUGCAACCUGCCUUCAACAAGGGGAUAACCCGUUGAAAGACGGACUAAUACCCUAUAACACAGGGGUCCCGCAUGGGAAUAUUUGUUAAAGGACAACCGGUUGAAGAUGGGCAUGCGUUCCAUUAGCUAGUUGGCGGGGUAACGGCCCACCAAGGCAACGAUGGAUAGGGGAACUGAGAGGUUUAUCCCCCACACUGGUACUGAGACACGGACCAGACUCCUACGGGAGGCAGCAGUGAGGAAUAUUGGUCAAUGGACGCAAGUCUGAACCAGCCACGUCGCGUGAAGGAAGACGGCCCUACGGGUUGUAAACUUCUUUUAUACGGGGAAUAAAGUGCCCCACGCGUGGGGUUUUGCAUGUACCGUAUGAAUAAGGAUCGGCUAACUCCGUG